CCUCACCGCGUGCACUGGCAGGCCGGGUCCUUCCCCCCGGGGAGCCGCAUGCCCUUCGUUGGGCGUGUCGGGGAUCCGGGGAUUUUACUUUGAAAAAAUUAGAGUGUUCAAAGCAGGCCUUUGCUCGGAUACCACAGCAUGGAAUGAUGAAAUAGGACGUGCGGUUCUAUUUUGUUGGUUUUCAGGACCGCCGUAAUGAUUAAUAGGGACGGUCGGGGGUGUCAGUAUUCAAUUGUCAGAGGUGAAAUUCUUGGAUUUAUUGAAGACUAGCUACUGCGAAAGCAUUCACCAAGGAUGUUUUCAUUAAUCAGUGAACGAAAGCUGGGGGAUCGAAGACGAUCAGAUACCGUCGUAGUCUCAGCCGUAAACUAUGCCGACUAGGGAUCGGGCGGUGUUACUUGUUGACCCGCUCGGCACCUCGCGAGAAAUCAAAGUUUUUGGGUUCUGGGGGGAGUAUGGUCGCAAGGCUGAAACUUAAAGAAAUUGACGGAAGGGCACCACCAGGCGUUGAUUUUCGAGCCUCGCAGGGCUCUGCGCUUUACAGCAGCCCCAGAUGGGGUGGGUGGUUGUCAAAAAAAUGCUAGUCCGCCUCUACGGUGGGCAACACGCCCAAACUGCGGGGACCUCCUCGACCGCGCGGAUACCAAGCCGCCCGCCGAAAGGCGGCGGUGGCCGGGCCAACCCCCCGGGUACGGUGAGAACGCCGCGCGAUGGAAGAUCCGCAGCCUGCCCCCUAAGCCCUCGGGUACGGGGGCGGUUCAGAGACUAGAUGGGUGUGGGCGGCGAGCCCGCUUAAGAUAUAGUCCGGCCGCCCGCGAAAGCGGGCGGGUUCGACGGGAGCCUGCGGCUUAAUUUGACUCAACACGGGAAAUCUUACCAGGUCCAGACACGCGAAGGAUUGACAGAUUGAAAGUUCUUUCAUGAUUGUGUGGGUGGUGGUGCAUGGCCGUUUUUAGUUCGUGGGGUGACUUGUCUGCUUAAUUGCGAUAACGAACGAGACCCUAACCUGCUAAAUAGCCAGGCUGGCUCCGGCCGGUCGCAGGCUUCUUAGAGGGACUAUCGGCUUAAGUCGAUGGAAGUUUGGGGCAAUAACAGGU
This 1097-nucleotide ribosomal RNA is filed under the name Strigula cf. atrocarpoides. RNAcentral's name for it is "partial small subunit ribosomal RNA". It matches the Rfam family "Eukaryotic small subunit ribosomal RNA", at positions 718 to 1461 of the family's 1831-position model. Lineage: Eukaryota; Fungi; Ascomycota; Dothideomycetes; Strigulales; Strigulaceae. The record is from RNAcentral.